Molecule: long non-coding RNA, 311 nt
Filed under: Nicotiana benthamiana
Lineage: Eukaryota; Viridiplantae; Streptophyta; Magnoliopsida; Solanales; Solanaceae
Description: long non-coding RNA (NBEN_LNC006522)
Source: RNAcentral
GAGAAAACAUAGACCCUAAGCAGCAAACUCAGUCACUUUCAAGAUCCCAAACGACCCUAUCGAAUUCCUUCUUCACCAUCCUCUUCAACCAAAACACAGCAAUCAGCCACAACCAUCUUCUUCACACCAAGAAGUAGCCAUAGAUAAGUCUUAGGAGCUUCGACCUAGUAUGGUAAAACCAUGAACAACCGCACACCAAACGACCACAGUCUGUCUCCUCCAGACCAGUAAGAUUCAGAACACUGACCAGCCGACCACCAGCCACGACGCUCAUAUCCCUCUCGCUGAAAAACACUUAUACACAGCCCCAC